This is a small nuclear RNA of Cercocebus atys (sooty mangabey), 94 nucleotides long. NCBI's taxonomy places the organism in Eukaryota, Metazoa, Chordata, Mammalia, Primates, Cercopithecidae. The record is from Ensembl.
GUGUUGUCUGAAAGGAGAGAAAGUUAGCACUCCCCUUGACCAGGAUAAAUGAGGCCCUCGGGUCUGACAAACAUGCAUAGGGUGAAUUUUUUUU